GAUGAAGAACGUAGCGAAAUGCGAUAAGUAAUGUGAAUUGCAGAAUUCAGUGAAUCAUCGAAUCUUUGAACGCACAUUGCGCCCGCCAGCAUUCUGGCGGGCAUGCCUGUUCGAGCGUCAUUUCAACCCUCGAGCCCCCCCGGGGGCCUCGGUGUUGGGGGACGGCACACCAGCCGCCCCCGAAAUGCAGUGGCGACCCCGCCGCAGCCUCCCCUGCGUAGUAGCACACACCUCGCACCGGAGCGCGGAGGCGGUCACGCCGUAAAACGCCCAACUUUCUUAGAGUUGACCUCGGAUCAGGUAGGAAUACCCGCUGAACUUAAGCAUAUCAAUAAGCGGAGGA
RNAcentral lists this unclassified non-coding RNA (343 nucleotides) under soil metagenome. RNAcentral describes it as "partial contains 5.8S ribosomal RNA, internal transcribed spacer 2, and large subunit ribosomal RNA". The stretch from base 1 to 120 matches the Rfam family "5.8S ribosomal RNA", at positions 35 to 154 of the family's 154-position model. The record is from RNAcentral.